This 468-nucleotide ribosomal RNA is filed under the name uncultured bacterium. Its description in RNAcentral is "partial 16S ribosomal RNA". It matches the Rfam family "Bacterial small subunit ribosomal RNA", at positions 28 to 507 of the family's 1533-position model. The record is from RNAcentral.
GACGUACGCUGGCGGCGUGCUUAACACAUGCAAGUCGAACGGAAAGGCCCUGCUUUUGUGGGGUGCUCGAGUGGCGAACGGGUGAGUAACACGUGAGUAACCUGCCCUUGACUUUGGGAUAACUUCAGGAAACUGGGGCUAAUACCGGAUAGGAGCUCCUGCUGCAUGGUGGGGGUUGGAAAGUUUCGGCGGCUGGGGAUGGACUCGCGGCUUAUCAGCUGGUUGGUGGGGUAGUGGCUUACCAAGGCUUUGACGGGUAGCCGGCCUGAGAGGGUGACCGGCCACAUUGGGACUGAGAGACGGCCCAGACUCCUACGGGAGGCAGCAGUGGGGAAUAUUGCACAAUGGGCGGAAGCCUGAUGCAGCAACGCCGCGUGCGGGAUGACGGCCUUCUGGUUGUAAACCGCUUUCGCCUGUGACGAAGCGUGAGUGACGGUAAUGGGUAAAGAAGCACCGGCUAACUACGUG